Molecule: long non-coding RNA, 1739 nt
Organism: Orcinus orca (killer whale)
Lineage: Eukaryota; Metazoa; Chordata; Mammalia; Artiodactyla; Delphinidae
Exons: 3
Source: RefSeq, a predicted model, not a curated record
UAUUUUAAUAACACAAAGGUUUUUUUUGAUAAAUCAUUUCAACUUGAAUGGCAUAUUAGGUAUGUAAAUCGUACAGUUCUGUAUACUCUCAUGUUAUCAAAAAUAUAAAGGAAUAAAAUUGUAUCUUCAUUGAAAACAAUCAGUAUUAAAAUACACACUUUUUCAGUACAAAAGAUAUAGCAAUUAAUUAAGCUUGUACUGAAGUUAAGUGUGAUUCUUGACUAUUAGUAAGCAUAAUAAUAACCCUGGAUCUUUUCUCCCCUAAUCUGAAAAUUACUCAAAAACUAGCUGCUUUACUCAUUUUCAAAUUAUAGGACUAGAUAAUUUCCAUAGUAUCAUUUACUGAUAAAAUUAUAUCUUUAAGAAGUAUUAAUGAUUAUGUUAACACAAGGUAGAUAGCCUUAUUGUAUGAAUUUAUGCAUUCAUCUUUUAUGUAUUUUUAAUUAACAUUUAUUAAAAUUUUUUAAAUGUAAUACAUGGUAAAAAAUUCAAAUGGUACAAACAGGUAUUAAAUGAAAAAUAAGUCUCUCUAUUCUAUCUCUGAUGCGUGGUAACUCAAUUGCCUUUUCUAUCAGUUACUGCUCUUACUGAUUUCUUCUUUUGGAUCAAUUCUUUAUAGUGGAAUUCUUAGGUCAACAGGUAUAUUCAUUUUAAUUUUCAUAGAAAUUGCCAUGAUAUCUUCUCCAGUGGUUCCCAGACAUGUGUGAGAAAGUCUACCUCCCCACAUCUAGUCAGACAGUAUCUCUCCUUUGAUCAACUUUUUGAUUUUGGUCAUUCUGACAGGUGAAAAGUUAUAUGUCACUCCAGUUUUAAUUUGCAGUAAAGGUGAGUAUCUUUUUGCAUACUUAAAAAGUCGCUUGUAUUUCUUUUUUUUCCUGUGAAGUAAGAUUUUUAUAUAAUUUCUACAUUCAUUUAUAAUAUUCUCAGAAAUUAAACAGACAUAAAACAGGCCAAAAGAAGAAUCUGUAGCAAUUUGAGAAGUGAUUCAUUAUUUUUUAUAAUAUAGAAUAAUCAUUUUUGAUCUCCUUCCUCUUGGGGUUGGGUACUGAUAACAUAUAGGUGAAAAGAUAGAGCCACAAUCCCAAGAGGAUCACAUGUAAGUUAGAGAGGAGAUGUUCACAUGAAUGAAGAAUUCCAGUACAAGAGAUGGAUGCUAUAAACUGAAGAACAAAGGGCAUGGAGGUGUAGAAGAAGGAACAAGUGAGUUGAGAGAGAAAAACUCAGAGACAUGAAUUGAGUCUUCCAUUCUCAUAUUAAUUUGCUCAGGCUGCCAUAACAAAAUGCUAUAAAUUGGGUAACUUAAACAACAGAAAUUUAUUUUCUCAGUCCUAGGGGAUUGAAAUCCAAGAUCAAAGUAUUGGCAGGUUUGGUUUCUCCUGUGGUCUCUCCCCUUGGCUUGUGGAUGGCUACCUUCUCACUGAGUCCUCACAAGCCUUUGGACUAAACUGAAAACAAAUAUUACGUACCCUGAAUCGGUGCUGAAACCACAAAGGAGAGCAUCUUUGGAUCCCUCCAAGUAAUAAAAAUAUUCUGUUCAGAAAGAAAUUGAACAAUAUAACAUUAUGGAGUGUAAGCUUUAAGAGUGACACAGCAGUAAGAAGAGGUAUAUAUUUUGAUGGAAACGAAAGUUGAAAAGAAUUUCGAAGAAUGUAGUGAAAAAUAAGGGACACUGCAUGUGCACAUUCAAAAGCAGGAUAGAGUGACUCAUGAAAGAAUGAAUCAUGACUCAACAUUCCACU